AGCAUAUCAAUAAGCGGAGGAAAAGAAACCAACAGGGAUUGCCUUAGUAACGGCGAGUGAAGCGGCAACAGCUCAAAUUUGAAAGCUGGCUCCUUUGGAGUCCGCGUUGUAAUUUGUAGAGGAUGAUUCGGCAAGGGCUCCCGCCUAAGUCUCCUGGAACGGAGCGUCAUAGAGGGUGAGAAUCCCGUAUGCGGUGGGCUGCCUAAGCCAUGUGAAUCUCCUUCGACGAGUCGAGUUGUUUGGGAAUGCAGCUCUAAAUGGGAGGUAAAUUUCUUCUAAAGCUAAAUACCGGCCAGAGACCGAUAGCGCACAAGUAGAGUGAUCGAAAGAUGAAAAGCACUUUGGAAAGAGAGUUAAAAAGUACGUGAAAUUGUUGAAAGGGAAGCGCUUGCAGCCAGACUUGUCCGCAGUUGCUCAGCCGGUCUCCUGACCGGUGUACUCUUCUGCGGCCAGGCCAGCAUCAGUUCGGGCGGUCGGAUAAAGACCUCGGGAAUGUAGCUCCUCUCGGGGAGUGUUAUAGCCCGGGGUGGAAUGCGGCCAGCCUGGACUGAGGAUCUCGCUUCGGCUAGGAUGCUGGCGUAAUGGCUGUAAGCGGCCCGUCUUGAAACACGGACCAAGGAGUCUAACAUCUAUGCGAGUGUUUGGGUGUCAAACCCAUGCGCGUAAUGAAAGUGAACGGAGGUGGGAACCCUCACGGGUGCACCAUCGACCGAUCCUGAUGUCUUCGGAUGGAUUUGAGUAAGAGCAUAGCUGUUGGGACCCGAAAGAUGGUGAACUAUGCCUGAAUAGGGUGAAGCCAGAGGAAACUCUGGUGGAGGCUCGCAGCGGUUCUGACGUGCAAAUCGAUCGUCAAAUUUGGGUAUAGGGGCGAAAGACUAAUCGAACCAUCUAGUAGCUGGUUCCUGC
Molecule: ribosomal RNA, 906 nt
Filed under: Botryosphaeria dothidea
Lineage: Eukaryota; Fungi; Ascomycota; Dothideomycetes; Botryosphaeriales; Botryosphaeriaceae
Description: partial large subunit ribosomal RNA
Rfam family: Eukaryotic large subunit ribosomal RNA
Source: RNAcentral